GUAAUGGGUAGCAAUACCUGUUGACGGCGACCGGCGCACGGGUGCGUAACGCGUAUGUAACCUACCCUUCACAGGGGGAUAGUCAGAGGAAACUUUGAAUAAUACCGCAUAAAACAGGGGUCCGGCAUCGGGAUAUUUGUUAAAGGUGGCGACACGGUGAACGAUGGGCAUGCGUUCGAUUAGAUAGUUGGUGAGGUAACGGCUCACCAAGUCUACGAUCGAUAGGGGGUCUGAGAGGAUUAUCCCCCACACUGGUACUGAGAUACGGACCAGACUCCUACGGGAGGCAGCAGUGAGGAAUAUUGGGCAAUGGGCGAAAGCCUGACCCAGCCAUGCCGCGUGCAGGAAGACGGCCCUAUGGGUUGUAAACUGCUUUUACUCGGGAAGAAUAAGGGUUACGUGUAACCCGAUGACGGUACCGAAAGAAUAAGCAUCGGCUAACUCCGUGCCAGCAGCCGCGGUAAUACGGAGGAUGCGAGCGUUAUCCGGAAUUAUUGGGUUUAAAGGGUCCGCAGGCGGACAGGUAAGUCAGUAGUGAAAAACCGGGGCUUAACCCCGGUCGUGCUACAGAAACUGCCUGACUAGAGAAAGUUUGGCGUUGGCGGAAUGUGACAAGUAGCGGUGAAAUGCAUAGAUAUGUCACAGAACACCGAUAGCGAAAGCAGCUGACGAAGACUAUUCUGACGCUCAGGGACGAAAGCGUGGGGAGCAAACAGGAUUAGAUACCCUGGUAGUCCACGCAGUAAACGAUGGGUACCAUCUUUUUGUCCGCAAGGAUGAGAGGAUCAUCGAAAGAGAUAAGUACCCCACCUGGGGAGUACGUGCGCAAGCAUGAAACUCAAAGGAAUUGACGGGGGCCCGCACAAGCGGUGGGGCAUGUGGUUUAAUUCGAUGAUACGCGAGGAACCUUACCGGGGUUUAAAUGGGAUCUGAAUAAUCUGGAAACAGGUUAGCCGCAAGGCAGAUUUCAAGGUGCUGCAUGGUUGUCGUCAGCUCGUGCCGUGAGGUGUCAGGUUAAGUCCUGCAACGAGCGCAACCCCCAUGAUCCGUUACUAACAGGUGAAGCUGAGGACUCAGAUCAGAC
RNAcentral lists this ribosomal RNA (1084 nucleotides) under human gut metagenome. RNAcentral's name for it is "bacterial SSU rRNA". It matches the Rfam family "Bacterial small subunit ribosomal RNA", at positions 69 to 1149 of the family's 1533-position model. The record is from RNAcentral.